UACGUAGGUGGCAAGCGUUGUCCGGAUUUAUUGGGUUUAAAGGGUGCGUAGGCGGUUGAUUAAGUCAGUUGUGAAAUACGGUAGCUCAACUAUCGAGGUGCAAUUGAUACUGGUUGACUUGAGUACAGACGAGGUAGGCGGAAUUGACGGUGUAGCGGUGAAAUGCAUAGAUAUCGUCAAGAACACCGAUAGCGAAGGCAGCUUACUA
RNAcentral lists this ribosomal RNA (208 nucleotides) under uncultured prokaryote. RNAcentral describes it as "partial 16S ribosomal RNA". It matches the Rfam family "Bacterial small subunit ribosomal RNA", at positions 524 to 731 of the family's 1533-position model. The record is from RNAcentral.